AUGUACCUGCGUGACAGCGAGCGGUGGUCAUUAUGUGUCAUUGCAGAAAGUGUUGAAAUGUUUACAGUUGAAAAGCAAAUAGGAAUCUGUAUUUUUUCUUCUUCAAUUGAUUGAAUAUUAUCACGUUUAGUAACGAUCAGAGGCCUGUCGGCAAGACUUAUGAAUCACAAAUCAAUCGCCAUUGGAGUGUAGGGGAGGCAAAUGGCCAUCUGCCUCAAGUUGGAUGAUGUCGCUUGAAAGUGGCUCUGGAUCUUCACCCACCCAAAUCAAAAAUGGAAAACCUCUUGGAGACUGGUAUUACGUAAAUGAGUUGCAUGACAGCAGGAUGGGAGUUCAAAACAGCUCACACAUAGCCUACAUGGUCUCCCCUUGAAUGCUAGUGCUAAAACUUUUUUUUUUUUUCAUUGAAAUGAACACGUCUUCAGUAUUUUCCUAUUGUUGACUUUUAAACCGGACUCUGGUGCUUGUGUUUCCUGGCCCUGAAACGGCCCUUGGUGGAUGCCACAUUCAAGAGAGCUUAUGAAAUUCUCCUGUUCAGUGAGCAAGUACCUCUAUUGCUUCCUUCUCCACUCACUCGACUGCAAUGUUUGAAAGGGGCCAAUCCCAUACCGCUGUACGGCACAAGUAACCAUCGAAAACUCAAGACGACAUCCUCACAAGAGUCCCUUGAAUCGCUGCGCGUCACCCAGUUUCCACUCCCGUUAUGGCUGUGGCUCCUCGGAGCAUAACCGUGUGGCCCCAUGUUAAAAGUUGAGCAGGGCCGCUACUUAUGUUUAUUGUCUUGUUCACAGCAGCUGAGCCAAAAGACACUUGAGAACGCACACUUGGACAGAGAGAGGCGCCUGUCUUAUGGUGGUGGCAAUUGACGGAAUGGAUGGCGUGUUUACAAGUGCCUGACUACCAUCCAAGUGUGAAAUUAAACAACCAAGUAAAUUGUUUGUAAGCUGCCUAUACAGUAUAUGAAAAUACACUUUGGCCUCAUUGUGAUGUAACAUUGGGGCGAGUUUACAUAGUAACCACACUGUGUUGCAUUGCCCAUGACUUGUUCAGCUCAGAUCCAGAGCCACUUUCAAGUGACUCGACAAUGUCCCACCAUUUCCAACCUCCCCCCUCCACACACACACAUACACACUUUGAUGCUCACUGAGCUGUGUUUGUGUUUUUUUUUUUUUGUCUUCCUUGCAGGCCAUUUAACAACUGAUCAAGGCUCAUUUGUUCACGCACCAGCACCCACACCUGACGCUAAAGAUGGAUGGGACAGGAUAGGGGAGAUGAUGUACAUCCUCCACCACACCAUUCAUCUGCAUCAAGGCAUGGGCCAAAAUAUUUGGAUGUAGGUGACGUCAUCGCCCUCGGCCGUGUCCUCGGCGUGUUUCCUCUUCUCCUCCUCCAGAUCCAUGAUCACCUAAAUACAAGACAGAGACCCACCAUUCUGUGCCUGCUUUCCGCUGCCGCUAACUGGGCCAGCAUCUUCUCCUGCAUCCUCCUGCAGUGGCUAACUACCAGCUUGAGCACCACCAGCGGGUUGGAAGUGGCCGCGUGUUCCUUGCCCCGGUGAUCUCCCACCACCUCGCCGUCUCUCUGUAGCGCAAGGAAGGGGUCGCUGAGGUCGUAGCGGCCGUAGCGCUCCUGGACGAAGAACUCUUUGCGCUGAGCCUGAUGAUGACACAGAUGGCCAGGGCCUGUUUCUGGGCCGAGAGCCAGGCGAGAUGUCUCGAAGCAGGUGACGCAGCGCCAAGAUGGUUCACGGCGUGAAAAGGUCUCAACAAAAGAGGAUCAAGAGAUUACAGUGAACGCCAUCCUCUUUGGAAGAGUGACGACGGAGUGGACAGCGUUGUACAAGACGGUGGGUGGCACGUCUGAGGUUAGCUCGGCACAGCGAUUGUUUCUUAUCAGAAAUGAAACUAGAGGAACAGACCAUAAGCACGCCACAUAUUUUUAAUUCGACAUUUGCUAAUUUUGUUAAUAUAACUGAAAACCUUUUCCUAUUUUGUGUAAUUUCGCAACAGAAAAUUGCCAGUGACUGAAAAAUGCGGCGGAGACGAUGAAGAUGUCGGGGCUGGACAUGAAGCUUCCCGUGAAGAGUCUCCCCUCUCACACGCCUUCCAUGUUUUCUACAGAUUCAUCAAAGUUAAGGCUACGUGCAUCACUUUUUUUCUCUUUCAAUUAGUCAUGGAGGUCACUUUAAAAAAAAGUAGAUGACAAAUUGUGUUUUUUUCUGUAAAAGCAGCCCACAUCCCGUCAGUGUGCUUAUGUGUCAUUUUAGUAAAGAUCUUAGGUCAGACUUUCCAUUCUGGGUGUUUGUGUUGCACAAGGACACCCUUAAUCAUGAACGGUGUUCAUCACUACGGCUCGAAUGAAAAAAAAAAAAGAAUCAAUGCUUAGUCUGCACCUAUUUCCAUUAGUCUGCUCUGUAAAGCAAGGGACUGGCGGAAUACCCCAAAAAAAAGCAUUUGAAAAAUAAAAUCAUUUGAAAUUACGACGAGGACAAACCGAUGUUAAACAUGACAUAGAAAAUUAUUAAUUAGACUGCGCACUUGUAAAUUUCUGAGCACUUGUGUUUUCUAUCUGAGGUUUUGUGUGUCUGCUCUUAGAAUCAUCCAAGGAAUGAACUGCAAAGCCAAACAUCAGUGCUGUAAUUCACGACUGGAUCACUGUGGCUACUGCAGAUCUGUGGGCCAAAGACGAGAGUUGCCAGGAGAAGUAAAAAAAAAACACAAAAAAAACAACAACUUCCCUUUCAAAGUCGAGCAGCUGCAGAAGUGACUCAUGAAAGGGGGAAAGAAAAUGCAGCAAUAGUUUUACAAUUCCAUACAUGUGCAAAGAGAGGUGAAUUAUUUUUUUCUAUGAAUUUCAGUAAUUUGACUGCAUCCUAGUUACCAAUAAUUUUUCUUCUUCAAAGCUAAAAGAAGCUUUUGUCAUUGUGGUGAUUUGUGGAUUUUCCAUUUCUCACAUGAGAACGACACGGGCUAUUACCAGAAGUAGUUUUUUUUUUUUUUACUGCGUGGGAUGGUCUAAAAGAAUUUGGGCUGAUGUUGUUCUCCUGAUAAUCAUCUUGUUAGCACAAAGAACACCAAGCAUUCCUUAAUGGUAUUUAAAAAAAAAAAAAAAAAGGGCAGGAAGUUUGUUCUCUUCCUUUUUUUUAAUCUUCACAUCCAGGGAAAA
Syngnathus acus (greater pipefish) is the source of this 3165-nucleotide long non-coding RNA. RefSeq lists it as uncharacterized. Lineage: Eukaryota; Metazoa; Chordata; Actinopteri; Syngnathiformes; Syngnathidae. The transcript is spliced from 5 exons. The record is from RefSeq and is a predicted model, not a curated record.